GACGUAGGGCGCGAGCGUUGUCCGGAUUUAUUGGGCGUAAAGAGCUCGUAGGCGGCUUGUCGCGUCGUCCGUGAAAACUUGGGGCUCAACCCCAAGCUUGCGGUCGAUACGGGCAGGCUGGAGUUCGGUAGGGGAGACUGGAAUUCCUGGUGUAGCGGUGAAAUGCGUUGAUAUCAGGAGGAACACCGAUGGCGAAGGCAGCAAACUGGUCGUCAACUGACGCUGAGGCGCGAAAGCGUGGGUAGCAAACAGG
RNAcentral lists this ribosomal RNA (253 nucleotides) under uncultured bacterium. Its description in RNAcentral is "partial 16S ribosomal RNA". It matches the Rfam family "Bacterial small subunit ribosomal RNA", at positions 524 to 776 of the family's 1533-position model. The record is from RNAcentral.